RNAcentral lists this ribosomal RNA (500 nucleotides) under uncultured bacterium. Its description in RNAcentral is "partial 16S ribosomal RNA". It matches the Rfam family "Bacterial small subunit ribosomal RNA", at positions 28 to 523 of the family's 1533-position model. The record is from RNAcentral.
GAUGAACGCUGGCGGCGUGCCUAACACAUGCAAGUCGAGCGAUUUACUUCGGUAAAGAGCGGCGGACGGGUGAGUAACACGUGGGCAACCUGCCUGUAAGACUGGGAUAACUUCGGGAAACCGGAGCUAAUACCGGAUAAUCCUUUUCCUCACAUGAGGAAAAGCUGAAAGUCGGUUUACGCUGACACUUACAGAUGGGCCCGCGGCGCAUUAGCUAGUUGGUGAGGGAACGGCUCACCAAGGCGACGAUGCGUAGCCGACCUGAGAGGGUGAUCGGCCACACUGGGACUGAGACACGGCCCAGACUCCUACGGGAGGCAGCAGUAGGGAAUCUUCCGCAAUGGACGAAAGUCUGACGGAGCAACGCCGCGUGAGCGAUGAAGGCCUUCGGGUCGUAAAGCUCUGUUGUUAGGGAAGAACAAGUAUCGGAGUAACUGCCGGUACCUUGACGGUACCUAACCAGAAAGCCACGGCUAACUACGUGCCAGCAGCCGCGGUAA